Doryrhamphus excisus (bluestripe pipefish) is the source of this 2857-nucleotide non-coding RNA. NCBI's taxonomy places the organism in Eukaryota, Metazoa, Chordata, Actinopteri, Syngnathiformes, Syngnathidae. The record is from RefSeq and is a predicted model, not a curated record.
UUGGUAUUUAGUCUCGGGAAGCUAAUCAGACAUGUGUGCUCUGGCGGUGUUCAGGUUGGCUAUAGUUUUUAACAAUUUUUUCACAGUUUGAAUGAGAACCUAGCUCCGGUGGCCCCCAGCAGAGUCCAUAAAAACAGAUGGAAGAACCCACACAAACACCACAGCCUCCCAGUCUUUGCAGCUCAUUCGAAGUAACUGGGAAGCCAUGCUGGAGCUUGGAUCCCAGGGUGGUGAUGUUUUUGGUGACUCUCGCUGGAGCUGUCAUCCUAAUGCUCCUCUACAGACUCCUACAAACACGGCACAGGUUGAAGAUGGUGAGUGCGAGGCAUGCUCUGGAGUACCACAGCUUCUACCACACUGCCACCUACACACUCAAACAUCCUUCACCCUACGAGAAGCUACCAGCUCAAAAUGGUAAAGUUCCCGAAUCGCCACUGCCUCUCCAAAGUGUUGCCGCAGCAGCUCCGCCCGUCCCGUCGCCAGCUCGUACACUCCCACCAGCACCUUCACUUCCGAUGACACCUUCUCUCCGGUCUCUUCCACUGCCUGUGAUUCACACCACUCCGCCAAGCCCCCACCUGUCAUGGGGAGCUUGCUCAGAAGUCGAUGUUUACUCUCGUAUUGGAGCUUAUCGGCCCUCCAGGCUCUCAAGCCUCUCCAGUCACUCAAAGGUCAUUCUUUUUGAACACUCAUUUCUCUGACCUGAGUGGAAGUGGAAGAUGGUAAAUACGCCAUUGGACGUACCUCCAUUGGACUCCAUAUACCAGUGAUUUUCAACCACUGUGCCGCGGCACACUAGUGUACCUUGAGAAACUGUCAGGUGUGUCGUGAGGAAUUAUCCAAUAUCACUUUUUAUAAUUAACAUUUAUCAAUCAUCAUUUGCAAAUAUUAUGUCAAUAGCCAAUAUGUCAAUAGUAUACAUGGACCCAAAUAUUCCAAUUGCAUUUGGUUUAUUUGCUCAAACGGAAAGAAUUGAACAGGGAUGGAAUAUUCCUUUAACCAAUCCGAUUGAGGUAUCUUGUACCCGCUCAAACGGAAAGUUGUCAGACUGCGUUCUUCUUCGUGGUGUUUUUCUUCUUCUGUUGUUUAUUGGCGGUUGGCAAGCAGCUUUCGUAUGCAUUAGCGGCAUCUGUGGAACAGAAUCUAAACCCUUCUAUACUUUAUUCACAAGUGCAGUUUUAUUAAAAAAGAAAAUAUAUAUCUAUAUAAAACAUGUCCUGAGUUUAAUUAUAAAAUAUUAGCAAGAUUGAAUUUGAUCUUUUCCUGUUUAAAUUUAUCCCGGGUGCGUUCUUUCAGCGCAUGCUCAGAUAUGACGUAACACGCAGAUCCAGACGUUUUUUUGGUUUUAAAAAUGUAGGUGAGCAAUCAGCAUUGGACUAAGCAAAGUUUGUUUUUGAUUCAAACUAAAUUUCAAGACUGGACUGACAAAAAACUGGCAAUACGAAGUUAUUCCAACAAGUGAAAGAAAAACUUGGGGAGGCCGGUAUAACGUGAUGUUGAUGUUUACGUUUUACUGGGCAUGCCCUAUUGACUAUUCUGGUUGAUUUUCACGGCGCAUGUAGACAAGAGAUUGGAAUAUUCCUUUCUAUGGAUACCAUUGUUUCCCGAAAGGUCAUUCGGAAAGAGAAAAAGUGGUCAUGUAAAAACGUGGCUACUGUGGAGUGUCUGUGGUGUAAAGACUGGCAGAGCAAUGUAAUAUUGGUCCGUGUGACAACACCUACCUUGUUCCUCCGAUAGACUUAUUGAUGCACGUGUAAGGUCGUGGUGACAUUUUGUAACAUUUUUGGUUAGUGGUGUGCCACAAGAUUUUACCAAUGUAAAAAACAUGCAGUGGCUCAAAAAAGGUUGAAAAUCACUGCCAUAUAUUAUAUGACUGUCGAUCUUCAGCUUACAACUGUUUCAGUUUUUAUCUUAUCUACAUUCAUUUAGUAGGUAUUAACCCCACAAAUGUGGUUUAUGGGGUAAACAUAUAGAUAUAGAUGUGUUAUAUAUUUCAUAGGAAUACUAAGCAUUAAAUGAUAUCUCCUAAAGCAGCCGUCCCCCAGACCUUUUUUGAGCCCAAGAGCCCUGCUUCUGUUGCUGCUGGAGCUAGUCGAUGCAUUACAACAGUCAACCUUAACGAUCCAUGGAGGUCACACGUGGAUGAGCACGUGAUGCGCGCUGGCACCUCCGGGUUUCGGGGACCGGGCUCCGGGCUUGGGUUGCGCGGGGUGCGUGCCUGGAGAGUAGCGAAGCAUGAUGAGAUGUUCAGGGGUCAAAAUGCAUGCCUGUUGAUAUGGUCACUCUCAGGAGGGAUGGGCACUGAUGUGACAAUGCAUUUAUUUUUUUUUUAUAUAUUUUUGAAGAUCUACACUGUACUUACUUACUUAAUUACUGUUAAUUUACAGCCAAUUUCCAACAGUAAUAUACUGUAUUAACGGAAUACAGUUUUUACCGUAGUUCUCAAUGCAUUGUGGGUUGUUCAAGGUGAAGCAACAUCAGUAUGCUACUGUUAUAAAUUAGAGUAAACUACAGUAUUUUCUAAAAAUUUGGUGCAUACCAAACUCGCGAGGGAAAGUUCUCCUGCCUGCACGGCGGGGACAUGUUUGCUACCCAUGAACAGGAAAUCUUGCUUCGUCUGCAUCCUUCCAAUUGUGCAUCUACAAAUAACACGGUAAGUAAAAACUAACUUGUCUUUAUUUUUUACAGCAGAAUGAAUCAACCUGACUGAAAUCAAACUGGCUAGCUAGUGAGUGCCUGAUUUUCAGUGCCACUCAUCGGUGAGGCUAAGAUUUGAAUAAUGUUAGCAACAUUCCGUUUUCUACAGCUUUUUCCUCACAAGGGUCGCUGGAGCCUAUCCCUGCUGUCUUUGGGCGAG